AUUUAGGAUUUUCGUCAGCCACAAUGCUUGGUUCACAGCAGCUGCUGUAGCAACAAACUCUACUUCAGCUGUGGAUUGAGCUACUGUUUUUUGCUUUUUGAAACUCCAUGAAAAAACACCUGAUCCAAAGCUAAAACAGUAUCCUGACAUACUUCUCAUAUCAUCAAUCGAGCCACCCCAGUCCCUGUCAGAAAAACCAGCUAGCUUGAACUUUUCAUUAUUCCUGAAUU
This 230-nucleotide long non-coding RNA is filed under the name Carica papaya (papaya). Its description in RNAcentral is "long non-coding RNA (CPAP_LNC010461)". Lineage: Eukaryota; Viridiplantae; Streptophyta; Magnoliopsida; Brassicales; Caricaceae. The record is from RNAcentral.